UACGGAGGGUGCAAGCGUUGUUCGGAAUCAUUGGGCGUAAAGCGCGUGUAGGCGGCUUGGCAAGUCAGUUGUGAAAGCCCGGGGCCCAACCCCGGAACUGCAUCUGAAACUGCCUAGCUAGAGUCCCGGAGAGGAAGGCAGAAUUCCCGGUGUAGGGGUGAAAUCCGUAGAUAUCGGGAGGAAUACCAGCGGCUAAGGCGGCCUUCUGGACGGUGACUGACGCUGAGACGCGAAAGCGUGGGGAGCAAACAGG
This 253-nucleotide ribosomal RNA is filed under the name uncultured bacterium. RNAcentral describes it as "partial 16S ribosomal RNA". It matches the Rfam family "Bacterial small subunit ribosomal RNA", at positions 524 to 776 of the family's 1533-position model. The record is from RNAcentral.